CAGGUCAGGCGGGGCUACCCGCUGAGUUUAAGCAUAUCAAUAAGCGGAGGAAAAGAAACUAACAAGGAUUCCCCUAGUAACGGCGAGCGA
This 90-nucleotide ribosomal RNA is filed under the name Stryphnodendron roseiflorum. RNAcentral describes it as "partial 28S ribosomal RNA". It matches the Rfam family "Eukaryotic large subunit ribosomal RNA", at positions 1 to 96 of the family's 3401-position model. The record is from RNAcentral. Lineage: Eukaryota; Viridiplantae; Streptophyta; Magnoliopsida; Fabales; Fabaceae.